AUUGACGCAGCUCUUCUCAUCUCCAUCUCUGACCUUCGAGCUCUCUCAUCUCCAUCUCCGAUGCAGACCUCGAGAUCUCUCAUCUCCGGCUCGAGCUCUCCGACUCAGGCUCGAGCUCUCUCUUUUCCGACGCAGACCACGAACUCUCUCUUCUCCGACGCAGACCACGAUCUCUCUCUCUUCUCCGACGCAGACCACGAGCUCUCUCAUCUCAGACGCAGACCUCGAGCUAUCUCAUCUCUGACGCUUAUCACGGGC
RNAcentral lists this long non-coding RNA (258 nucleotides) under Brassica napus (rape). Its description in RNAcentral is "long non-coding RNA (BNAP_LNC025424)". Lineage: Eukaryota; Viridiplantae; Streptophyta; Magnoliopsida; Brassicales; Brassicaceae. The record is from RNAcentral.